AGCAGUAGCCACGGUAAUACAGAGGGUGCGAGCGUUAAUCGGAUUUACUGGGCGUAAAGCGUGCGUAGGCGGCUUUUUAAGUCGGAUGUGAAAUCCCUGAGCUUAACUUAGGAAUUGCAUUCGAUACUGGGAAGCUAGAGUAUGGGAGAGGAUGGUAGAAUUCCAUGUGUAGCGGUGAAAUGCGUAGAGAUCUGGAGGAAUACCGAUGGCGAAGGCAGCCAUCUGGCCUAAUACUGACGCUGAGGUACGAAAGCAUGGGGAGCAAACAGGAUUAGAUACCCGCGUAGUCCCUGUCUCUUAUAC
This 303-nucleotide ribosomal RNA is filed under the name uncultured bacterium. Its description in RNAcentral is "partial 16S ribosomal RNA". It matches the Rfam family "Bacterial small subunit ribosomal RNA", at positions 507 to 807 of the family's 1533-position model. The record is from RNAcentral.